CGAGCGGAUGAAGGUAGCUUGCUACNNAUUCAGCGGCGGACGGGUGAGUAAUGCUUAGGAAUCUGCCUAUUAGUGGGGGACAACGUUCCGAAAGGAGCGCUAAUACCGCAUACGUCCUACGGGAGAAAGCAGGGGACCUUUGGGCCUUGCGCUAAUAGAUGAGCCUAAGUCGGAUUAGCUAGUUGGUAGGGUAAAGGCCUACCAAGGCGACGAUCUGUAGCGGGUCUGAGAGGAUGAUCCGCCACACUGGGACUGAGACACGGCCCAGACUCCUACGGGAGGCAGCAGUGGGGAAUAUUGGACAAUGGGGGGAACCCUGAUCCAGCCAUGCCGCGUGUGUGAAGAAGGCCUUUUGGUUGUAAAGCACUUUAAGCGAGGAGGAGGCUACCUAGAUUAAUACUUUAGGAUAGUGGACGUUACUCGCAGAAUAAGCACCGGCUAACUCUGUGCCAGCAGCCGCGGUAAUACAGAGGGUGCGAGCGUUAAUCGGAUUUACUGGGCGUAAAGCGUGCGUAGGCGGCCAAUUAAGUCAAAUGUGAAAUCCCCGAGCUUAACUUGGGAAUUGCAUUCGAUACUGGUUGGCUAGAGUAUGGGAGAGGAUGGUAGAAUUCCAGGUGUAGCGGUGAAAUGCGUAGAGAUCUGGAGGAAUACCGAUGGCGAAGGCAGCCAUCUGGCCUAAUACUGACGCUGAGGUACGAAAGCAUGGGGAGCAAACAGGAUUAGAUACCCUGGUAGUCCAUGCCGUAAACGAUGUCUACUAGCCGUUGGGGCCCUUGAGGCUUUAGUGGCGCAGCUAACGCGAUAAGUAGACCGCCUGGGGAGUACGGNNGCAAGACUAAAACUCAAAUGAAUUGACGGGGGCCCGCACAAGCGGUGGAGCAUGUGGUUUAAUUCGAUGCAACGCGAAGAACCUUACCUGGCCUUGNNAUACAG
Molecule: unclassified non-coding RNA, 933 nt
Filed under: Acinetobacter radioresistens
Lineage: Bacteria; Pseudomonadati; Pseudomonadota; Gammaproteobacteria; Moraxellales; Moraxellaceae
Description: contains 16S-23S intergenic spacer region
Rfam family: Bacterial small subunit ribosomal RNA
Source: RNAcentral